UGUAUUUCUUUAAUUGUAAAAUAGUCACACCAAUAGUUGUUAUCUUUUCACCAAGCUUAUUGCUGAUGGUCUUGUAGCCCAUUCCAGCCUUGUGCAAAUCUCCAGUAUUGUCCCUGAUGUCCUCUGAUAGUUCUUUGGCCUCGCCCAUUUUGGUGGAAGACAUUAAUUCUGUAGACAGGUGUGCUUCAUAUACAUAAUGAGUUGAGAUCAGGAGUAUCUAUAAUUGUUUGACUGAUUAAGUGUCACAUGGGGACAACCUGAGUUCUGGCUGGAUUGUAUGCAGGGUGCGAACCCAUCAGAGACAAUGUGAUCUGAUCGUUUGUGUUGGCCACCCUGACAAGUUGGCGUCUCUAAAAAUCCAAGAGGCAGUGAAGCAGCAGUCCUCAGAGGUGUGAAUAAAGGAGAACAAGAAGGUGCAACAUCUAACCUUGUUGACCUCCCGAAGAGCAGCUUCAGCUUGGUGUCUUGUCAACUUUCCUCCAUACCAGCUGGAAUCCAAGCCCUGAGCGCACCAUGAUAGAACAGUCAGUAUUGGAUCAUCGCUCUCAUUGUCCUUACCGCAGCCCGGACAUGUGAUGCAAGCAGAGCGCAUGAGUGCAACUCAUGACAAAAGCAACUUUUUAAAAGUUUUCACAUGACGUAUUAGCUUGUGUGAGACCUCUUGGUAUCUCACACCCUGGUGAUAGAGGAGGGCAGCAGUGAGAAGGGGUGAUCAAUCACGCUCAGACCCCCCUGAGCCACUCUGGGAGAAUACACGAGUUCCCCUGGGGGGUCCUUGUGGCAGAACCCCCUACCUGUGUUUUCUUCUUUUGUCCUGAAUUGGAAACAUACCCCUGUGACAUGUAACUGCCACCAAAUGUGGUAUAAAUAAUAAAAAGAAAGUGAUGAACCA
This is a long non-coding RNA of Oreochromis aureus, 892 nucleotides long. RefSeq lists it as uncharacterized. The record is from RefSeq and is a predicted model, not a curated record. The transcript has 5 exons. Lineage: Eukaryota; Metazoa; Chordata; Actinopteri; Cichliformes; Cichlidae.